Molecule: ribosomal RNA, 497 nt
Filed under: uncultured bacterium
Lineage: Bacteria
Description: partial 16S ribosomal RNA
Rfam family: Bacterial small subunit ribosomal RNA
Source: RNAcentral
GAUGAACGCUGGCGGCGUGCCUAAUACAUGCAAGUCGAGCGAACGGACGAGAAGCUUGCUUCUCUGAUGUUAGCGGCGGACGGGUGAGUAACACGUGGAUAACCUACCUAUAAGACUGGGAUAACUUCGGGAAACCGGAGCUACUACCGGAUAAUAUUUUGAACCGCAUGGUUCAAAAGUGAAAGACGGUCUUGCUGUCACUUAUAGAUGGAUCCGCGCUGCAUUAGCUAGUUGGUAAGGUAACGGCUUACCAAGGCAACGAUGCAUAGCCGACCUGAGAGGGUGAUCGGCCACACUGGAACUGAGACACGGUCCAGACUCCUACGGGAGGCAGCAGUAGGGAAUCUUCCGCAAUGGGCGAAAGCCUGACGGAGCAACGCCGCGUGAGUGAUGAAGGUCUUCGGAUCGUAAAACUCUGUUAUUAGGGAAGAAAAUAUGUGUAAGUAACUGUGCACAUCUUGACGGUACCUAAUCAGAAAGCCACGGCUAACUACGUG